CCCUCUCCACCAUCUCUCACUCACCAAACAUUCCCUCCACCAUUUCAAAACCCCCAAAUACUUAGACCAAAAUCACCAAAUGUACAAGACCGAACGGGAGCUAUAGGAGACUUAGCAAUGGGUCAUCAUCACAAAUCCUUGUGAUAUCCUUCCUUAUUCCCAAACCCCCAGUUUCCCAAAAUCUCCUUUGUCACCAUCAUAAAGAGAAAAUUUCAAGUGUCGAUAUCAACAAUAAACACUAGAAUCCUUUGAUACCUCUGCGACUCCACCCUUUUGGUGGAAGAAGUUAUGGCUAUUCAUAGAUAAGCACUGCAUUCCUCGAUCUCGAAAACCUAGAAGGGGAUUUUCAGGCUGGAGCCAUUAUAAGGUACUCAUUGUUAUGGUUAUUGACGUGGGUGAUAGUUAUAGAGUUCUUGAUCUAGAUAUUAUGGGCGAGGGUGGGGGUGGCCAUGGGGCAUCAUCUUGCCUAAAUCCAUAGGAAAGAGUAUCGCAUGGGUUGGACUGUUGUUGUGGUUCAUGGCAGAGUUGGCCCUAAUUGGGGCUGAUCUCUAGCAGGUGAUUGUUGGUCGUGGGUUUUUGCCGCUUUAGGUUGGAGUUGUAGUUACUGCAUCUGAUUGAGAUGGUUAUGGAAAAUUGGUUCAGAGAGAGUUGGAAGCUCAAAGGCAUCUUAUAGAUUCUGGUUCUAGGUCAUUGGGAUCUUUCCUGCCAGGUAUGCCAUCACAUUCUUGCAAAGGAAAUUGGCUUACAAGAAGAAGAGAAAUCAUUACAAUGAAGUGAUGCUGAAAGUCAUGAAGAUGACAUCAUUUAAAUCAUUAGGAGGUUGAACUAGGCUUUUGUUGAUGAUGGUUUCUUUUUGUAGUCAUUGCAUCAAUAUUUGUUCUUAAAUUGGAUUUAAAAAUUCUCAUUGAAAUAUUUUGAUCUAAUGAACAAAUUUAUAAUUUGUAUACAAGUAAUUAUACUAAUUAUUCAAACUAAGUCAUUGUAUAUUAA
Molecule: long non-coding RNA, 990 nt
Organism: Vitis vinifera (wine grape)
Lineage: Eukaryota; Viridiplantae; Streptophyta; Magnoliopsida; Vitales; Vitaceae
Exons: 3
Source: RefSeq, a predicted model, not a curated record